CAGGCUUAACACAUGCAAGUCGAGGGGCAGCAUGGUCUUAGCUUGCUAAGGCCGAUGGCGACCGGCGCACGGGUGAGUAACACGUAUCCAACCUGCCGUCUACUCUUGGACAGCCUUCUGAAAGGAAGAUUAAUACAAGAUGGCAUCAUGAGUCCGCAUGUUCACAUGAUUAAAGGUAUUCCGGUAGACGAUGGGGAUGCGUUCCAUUAGAUAGUAGGCGGGGUAACGGCCCACCUAGUCUUCGAUGGAUAGGGGUUCUGAGAGGAAGGUCCCCCACAUUGGAACUGAGACACGGUCCAAACUCCUACGGGAGGCAGCAGUGAGGAAUAUUGGUCAAUGGGCGAGAGCCUGAACCAGCCAAGUAGCGUGAAGGAUGACUGCCCUAUGGGUUGUAAACUUCUUUUAUAAAGGAAUAAAGUCGGGUAUGGAUACCCGUUUGCAUGUACUUUAUGAAUAAGGAUCGGCUAACUCCGUGCCAGCAGCCGCGGUAAUACGGAGGAUCCGAGCGUUAUCCGGAUUUAUUGGGUUUAAAGGGAGCGUAGAUGGAUGUUUAAGUCAGUUGUGAAAGUUUGCGGCUCAACCGUAAAAUUGCAGUUGAUACUGGAUAUCUUGAGUGCAGUUGAGGCAGGCGGAAUUCGUGGUGUAGCGGUGAAAUGCUUAGGUAUCACGAAGAACUCCGAUUGCGAAGGCAGCCUGCUAAGCUGCAACUGACAUUGAGGCUCGAAAGUGUGGGUAUCAAACAGGAUUAGAUACCCUGGUAGUCCACACGGUAAACGAUGAAUACUCGCUGUUUGCGAUAUACUGCAAGCGGCCAAGCGAAAACGUUAAGUAUUCCACCUGGGGAGUACGCCGGCAACGGUGAAACUCAAAGGAAUUGACGGGGGCCCGCACAAGCGGAGGAACAUGUGGUUUAAUUCGAUGAUACGCGAGGAACCUUACCCGGGCUUAAAUUGCAGAUGAAUUACGGUGAAAGCCGUAAGCCGCAAGGCAUCUGUGAAGGUGCUGCAUGGUUGUCGUCAGCUCGUGCCGUGAGGUGUCGGCUUAAGUGCCAUAACGAGCGCAACCCUUGUUGUCAGUUACUAACAGGUUCCGCUGAGGACUCUGACAAGACUGCCAUCGUAAGAUGUGAGGAAGGUGGGGAUGACGUCAAAUCAGCACGGCCCUUACGUCCGGGGCUACACACGUGUUACAAUGGGGGGUACAGAGGGCCGCUACCACGCGAGUGGAUGCCAAUCCCCAAAACCUCUCUCAGUUCGGACUGGAGUCUGCAACCCGACUCCACGAAGCUGGAUUCGCUAGUAAUCGCGCAUCAGCCACGGCGCGGUGAAUACGUUCCCGGGCCUUGUACACACCGCCCGUCAAGCCAUGGGAGCCGGGGGUACCUGAAGUGCGUAACCGCGAGGAGCGCCCUAGGGUAAAACUGGUGACUGGGGCUAAGUCGU
RNAcentral lists this ribosomal RNA (1442 nucleotides) under uncultured organism. RNAcentral's name for it is "16S ribosomal RNA". It matches the Rfam family "Bacterial small subunit ribosomal RNA". The record is from RNAcentral.